Molecule: ribosomal RNA, 434 nt
Filed under: uncultured bacterium
Lineage: Bacteria
Description: partial 16S ribosomal RNA
Rfam family: Bacterial small subunit ribosomal RNA
Source: RNAcentral
AACGAACGCUGGCGGCAUGCCUAACACAUGCAAGUCGAACGAGAUCUUCGGGUCUAGUGGCGCACGGGUGCGUAACGCGUGGGAAUCUGCCCUCAGGUUCGGAAUAACCAUUGGAAACGAUGGCUAAUACCGGAUGAUGACGUUAAGUCCAAAGAUUUAUCGCCUGAGGAUGAGCCCGCGUAGGAUUAGCUAGUUGGUGUGGUAAAGGCGCACCAAGGCGACGAUCCUUAGCUGGUCUGAGAGGAUGAUCAGCCACACUGGGACUGAGACACGGCCCAGACUCCUACGGGAGGCAGCAGUGGGGAAUAUUGGACAAUGGGCGAAAGCCUGAUCCAGCAAUGCCGCGUGAGUGAUGAAGGCCUUAGGGUUGUAAAGCUCUUCUACCCGGGAUGAUAAUGACAGUACCGGGAGAAUAAGCUCCGGCUAACUCCGUG